AUUGAACGCUGGCGGCAUGCCUUACACAUGCAAGUCGAACGGUAACGCGGGGCAACCUGGCGACGAGUGGCGAACGGGUGAGUAAAGCAUCGGAACGUGCCCAGUAGUGGGGGAUAGCCCGGCGAAAGCCGGAUUAAUACCGCAUACGACCUAAGGGUGAAAGGGGGGGAUCGCAAGACCUCUCGCUAUUGGAGCGGCCGAUGUCAGAUUAGCUAGUUGGUGGGGUAAAAGCUACCCAAGGCGACGAUCUGUAGCUGGUCUGAGAGGACGACCAGCCACACUGGGACUGAGACACGGCCCAGACUCCUACGGGAGGCAGCAGUGGGGAAUUUUGGACAAUGGACGAAAGUCUGAUCAGCCAUGCCGCGUGCGGGAAGAAGGCCUUCGGGUUGUAAACCGCUUUUGUCAGGGAAGAAAUCCUUUGAGCUAAUACCUCGGGGGGAUGACGGUACCUGAAGAAUAAGCACCGGCUAACUACGUGCCAGCAGCCGCCGUAA
Molecule: ribosomal RNA, 497 nt
Filed under: uncultured bacterium
Lineage: Bacteria
Description: partial 16S ribosomal RNA
Rfam family: Bacterial small subunit ribosomal RNA
Source: RNAcentral